GAAGGUAAAGCAGGAGGUGAGAUGUCAGGGUUGAAAGGAGGACUGGAAAUUGGAUAUGAAGAGGGGGAAACUGGAACAGAAGGUGAAGGUGGAGAGGAAGAGAUGGGAAUACAGAAAUCUGGCUCAGAAAGGGAAUGCUCAAGAGGAGGAACAGAAUGAAAAAGAGAAGGAAAAACAGGAGGAGCAGAGGUGACAGAAGAAGCAGAUUUGAAAGGAAAAGAAGUUUC
RNAcentral lists this long non-coding RNA (227 nucleotides) under Nicotiana benthamiana. RNAcentral's name for it is "long non-coding RNA (NBEN_LNC000816)". Lineage: Eukaryota; Viridiplantae; Streptophyta; Magnoliopsida; Solanales; Solanaceae. The record is from RNAcentral.